RNAcentral lists this ribosomal RNA (506 nucleotides) under uncultured bacterium. Its description in RNAcentral is "partial 16S ribosomal RNA". It matches the Rfam family "Bacterial small subunit ribosomal RNA", at positions 30 to 523 of the family's 1533-position model. The record is from RNAcentral.
AUUGAACGCUGGCGGCAGGCUUAACACAUGCAAGUCGAGCGGUAACAGAGAGAAGCUUGCUUCUCUGCUGACGAGCGGCGGACGGGUGAGUAAUGCCUAGGAAUCUGCCUAGUAGUGGGGGAUAACUUGCCGAAAGGUAAGCUAAUACCGCAUACGUCCUACGGGAGAAAGGAGGGGACCUUCGGGCCUUUCGCUAUUAGAUGAGCCUGGGUCGGAUUAGUUAGUUGGUGAGGUAAUGGCUCACCAAGACCGCGAUCCGUAACUGGUCUGAGAGGAGGAUCGGUCAGACUGGAGCUGAGACACGGUCCAGACUCCGGCGGGAGGCAGCAGUGGGGAAUGUUGGACGAUGGGGGGAGCCCUGAUCCAGCCAUGCCGCGUGUGUGAAGAAGGUCUUAGGAUUGUAAAGCACUUUAAGUUGGGAGGAAGAGCAGUUAACUAAUAUUUGACUGUUUUGACGUUACCGACAGAAUAAGCACCGGCUAACUUCGUGCCAGCCGCCGCCGUAA